This 215-nucleotide ribosomal RNA is filed under the name uncultured fungus. Its description in RNAcentral is "partial small subunit ribosomal RNA". The stretch from base 23 to 215 matches the Rfam family "Eukaryotic small subunit ribosomal RNA", at positions 669 to 864 of the family's 1831-position model. Lineage: Eukaryota; Fungi. The record is from RNAcentral.
GGAUCAGUUCGUCGGUCGUGCCUUUGGUAUGUACUGGUGUUACUGGUUCCUCCCUUCUGACGAACCGUCAUGUCAUUAAUUUGGUGUGGCGGGAAAUCAGGACUGUUACUUUGAAAAAAUUAGAGUGUUUAAAGCAGGCGUUUGCUUGAAUACAUUAGCAUGGAAUAAUGGAAUAGGGCUGCUGCCCCAUUUUGUUGGUUUCUGGGACCGUAGCA